UCCAGUCCUAACUCCUAAACGAACUCGAAUGGUCAAAAUUUAUCGUACAUCAGAGCAAAGCAGUAAGUUCUAUUCGUCUCUUCAUUCCUUUUAUGAAAUGGUAUUACAGGCCCAAAGGCGAGCCCAACUGCCACACUUGUGCUAUUUCCUUUUCAAUUCAAGGGAAAAUUGUAGUAGUGGUUCCUAAUAUUUUCGAUUUUUGCAAACUUUACUCUAAUCCUCAUUUUGUGCCACUCACAAUUCUGAAUCUUUCAAAAAUAUGCAUCUGAAGUCCAUAUAGAUGGAAUCCAUCCAUUGACCGUUAGUUGACCAAGAAGAGUGGGCUUUGACCAAUUUCGACUAAAUUGAAGGGGGUGAAAUGGUACUUUACAUUUUCUCCCAUUAAAUAAGUUAAAAAAUAAAAAAAUAAACCAUAAAUAAAAAAUAAAAGAAAGAUAAUGGGGCAUCAUCAUCUUUCCCCACCCCCACCACUCCAAAUUGCAGCAGGGUCAGUGGUGCUGACCGUCGUCCGCCGUCCACUGGCCACCACCACCCCCACUACCACCUUCUUCCUUCGACUCCAUCCCACCACACCCCCACUCUCGCCUCCACCUUCACCUCCACCUCCACCCUAUUAAAACAAGAGAAUCAUUCACGACCACCAACACCGAUCUCCUCACCAAUGUCGGUAUUUUCAAAAAAAUAAAUAAAUUCGUGCCCUACCUCAUGAACAUCUAAUCGUGGCACUGUGGAGAUGGAACAUAUUAACAGUGGCCCAUCGGGAUAGCACCAAAUUUAUGCCCUCGUGUAGCUAAGUAGCAGCCUCUGUCGUCAGCUCCAAAUUCUUAUUGUUGUCCACUAUAACUCUGUGAUCUGAUUUUCCACUUCUCUGCUUUGCCAAUAAGCCCAAAACCCUACUCCUAUCUCAGAUCUAGAAAAUUUUGUAUUGGGUUAAUUAUUUCAGUGGCUUUGGUUGACGUUGUUGAUGAUGUGUGGGUGACCUAAACUUUUGGGUGACGUAGUGAUGGUGGCCGGCCUUCGGGUGGCAAUGUCGACUGUCGGUGUGGGUGGGAAUGGGGAAGAGUAGAGUGGGC
RNAcentral lists this long non-coding RNA (1073 nucleotides) under Olea europaea subsp. europaea. Lineage: Eukaryota; Viridiplantae; Streptophyta; Magnoliopsida; Lamiales; Oleaceae. The record is from RNAcentral.